RNAcentral lists this ribosomal RNA (1498 nucleotides) under uncultured compost bacterium. RNAcentral describes it as "partial 16S ribosomal RNA". It matches the Rfam family "Bacterial small subunit ribosomal RNA". The record is from RNAcentral.
UAAUACAUGCAAGUCGAACGAACUCUGGUAUUGAUUGGUGCUUGCAUCAUGAUUUACAUUUGAGUGAGUGGCGAACUGGUGAGUAACACGUGGGAAACCUGCCCAGAAGCGGGGGAUAACACCUGGAAACAGAUGCUAAUACCGCAUAACAACUUGGACCGCAUGGUCCGAGUUUGAAAGAUGGCUUCGGCUAUCACUUUUGGAUGGUCCCGCGGCGUAUUAGCUAGAUGGUGGGGUAACGGCUCACCAUGGCAAUGAUACGUAGCCGACCUGAGAGGGUAAUCGGCCACAUUGGGACUGAGACACGGCCCAAACUCCUACGGGAGGCAGCAGUAGGGAAUCUUCCACAAUGGACGAAAGUCUGAUGGAGCAACGCCGCGUGAGUGAAGAAGGGUUUCGGCUCGUAAAACUCUGUUGUUAAAGAAGAACAUAUCUGAGAGUAACUGUUCAGGUAUUGACGGUAUUUAACCAGAAAGCCACGGCUAACUACGUGCCAGCAGCCGCGGUAAUACGUAGGUGGCAAGCGUUGUCCGGAUUUAUUGGGCGUAAAGCGAGCGCAGGCGGUUUUUUAAGUCUGAUGUGAAAGCCUUCGGCUCAACCGAAGAAGUGCAUCGGAAACUGGGAAACUUGAGUGCAGAAGAGGACAGUGGAACUCCAUGUGUAGCGGUGAAAUGCGUAGAUAUAUGGAAGAACACCAGUGGCGAAGGCGGCUGUCUGGUCUGUAACUGACGCUGAGGCUCGAAAGUAUGGGUAGCAAACAGGAUUAGAUACCCUGGUAGUCCAUACCGUAAACGAUGAAUGCUAAGUGUUGGAGGGUUUCCGCCCUUCAGUGCUGCAGCUAACGCAUUAAGCAUUCCGCCUGGGGAGUACGGCCGCAAGGCUGAAACUCAAAGGAAUUGACGGGGGCCCGCACAAGCGGUGGAGCAUGUGGUUUAAUUCGAAGCUACGCGAAGAACCUUACCAGGUCUUGACAUACUAUGCAAAUCUAAGAGAUUAGACGUUCCCUUCGGGGACAUGGAUACAGGUGGUGCAUGGUUGUCGUCAGCUCGUGUCGUGAGAUGUUGGGUUAAGUCCCGCAACGAGCGCAACCCUUAUUAUCAGUUGCCAGCAUUAAGUUGGGCACUCUGGUGAGACUGCCGGUGACAAACCGGAGGAAGGUGGGGAUGACGUCAAAUCAUCAUGCCCCUUAUGACCUGGGCUACACACGUGCUACAAUGGAUGGUACAACGAGUUGCGAACUCGCGAGAGUAAGCUAAUCUCUUAAAGCCAUUCUCAGUUCGGAUUGUAGGCUGCAACUCGCCUACAUGAAGUCGGAAUCGCUAGUAAUCGCGGAUCAGCAUGCCGCGGUGAAUACGUUCCCGGGCCUUGUACACACCGCCCGUCACACCAUGAGAGUUUGUAACACCCAAAGUCGGUGGGGUAACCUUUUAGGAACCAGCCGCCUAAGGUGGGACAGAUGAUUAGGGUGAAGUCGUAACAAGGUAGCCGUAGGAGAACC